This 139-nucleotide transfer-messenger RNA is filed under the name Hyphomicrobiales bacterium. RNAcentral's name for it is "Rhizobiales bacterium partial transfer-messenger RNA". It matches the Rfam family "Alphaproteobacteria transfer-messenger RNA", at positions 217 to 355 of the family's 355-position model. Rfam says of the family: Bacterial tmRNA, also known as 10Sa RNA or SsrA, is named for its dual tRNA and mRNA-like properties. Its role is to liberate the mRNA from a stalled ribosome. The record is from RNAcentral. Lineage: Bacteria; Pseudomonadati; Pseudomonadota; Alphaproteobacteria; Hyphomicrobiales.
GCUAAACUUAUAGUUGCCAACGACAACUAUGCGGAAGCUCGUCUCGCUGCUUAAUGCGGCGCGAACGCUUCAAAUCAAGCCCUAGAGGUUCGCACUUCUAGGCGGGGUUCGGAGGUACCUGGCAACAGAAACCUCCACC